This is a long non-coding RNA of Nerophis ophidion (straightnose pipefish), 1215 nucleotides long. RefSeq lists it as uncharacterized. The record is from RefSeq and is a predicted model, not a curated record. The transcript has 2 exons. Lineage: Eukaryota; Metazoa; Chordata; Actinopteri; Syngnathiformes; Syngnathidae.
UAGCUGGCGGGAAUAAACUCACGAAGAAGAAAAAGAAAGCGGAAGUGGAGAAGUCUGCUAAACAGCGAGAGAGUACAGUAUAAAAACACUUUUAUUACUUUUACCUUUACUUUACUUCCAACCUUUGUCGUGUUUUACUUGAAAGAAAAACACUGACUUGCUAAAGUUGUGCGGGCUGACUUUUUACAGCUUCUCAGAUUAGCCGCAAACACAAGGGAAGUUAGCAGUCGGUGUAAGAUCGCACAUUUGGUGAGUAAAGGUGGACAACAUGUGUAAAUAAGGUGGACAACAUGUGUAAAUAAGGUGGACAACAUGUGUAAAUAAGGUGGACAACAUGUGUAAAUAAGGUUAACAUGUGUAAAUAAGGUUAACAUGUGUAAAUAAGGUGGACAACAUGUAUAAAUAAGGUGGACAACAUGUGUAAAUAAGGUGGACAACAUGUGUAAAUAAGGUGGACAACAUGUGUAAAUAAGGUGGACAACAUGUGUAAAGUCGGACAGCUGAGGACGUUGGUCAGUCAGCGACUAAGCGAGGCCGCCGAGGAGAUCUUGGGGCUUGUUGAAAGAACCAUAGCGGAGUACCAGGAGGAGACAUCAGUUUGAGAUGAAGAACACUGCACAUUAGUCAUCAUCAUUCUUUGGACAUCCUGGUCUGCAAUGAUGACAUCAGCAAUGAGUGACUUGGAAGCUUUUUUUGUGGUACAAUUUUGGAGUUCAACCAAAAGCAUGUCCAUCAGUUGCAUGGCCUUUAUUCACAAGUGCCUCUGGGGGCCUCACAGACCACAACAGUGUCCCCUGAUCUGAAAAAAAAAAAAGGAUCCUUGGGAUGGUGCCACAGAUGUGGGGACCCCCUCGUGGUUGACCCACUGCAAUGGAUGCUGAGCGAGUAUGUCUUGUGAAACUUAAGUUCAGUGAGCGCUUUGUAGGCUUUUAUUUUGUUUAGUUUGUUCUGAGCUGCCACCACAGAGCAGUAGACAAGCAUACACAGUCCUCUGGGGGCAAACACAGAAAUGUUCCGAAAGCACACAAAAACGUACAAUUGAAAAUGAAAUGCAUGAAAAGAUGCUGCAAGUGUUGUGGUUUUUUAAUCCAACAGUUUGUGUGACUGCAACAUGUUUCAUUUUCUGGGGUUUUGGAUCCUCACUGUGUUUUAGGCAUUGCUGCACAGUGUCUGCUAUUGGCCAAACUACAACAACAAUUAAACACUUUCAAUGUA